GACGAACGCUGGCGGCGUGCCUAAUACAUGCAAGUCGAACGCUUCUUUCCUCCCGAGUGCUUGCACUCAAUUGGAAAGAGGAGUGGCGGACGGGUGAGUAACACGUGGGUAACCUACCCAUCAGAGGGGGAUAACACUUGGAAACAGGUGCUAAUACCGCAUAACAGUUUAUGCCGCAUGGCAUAAGAGUGAAAGGCGCUUUCGGGUGUCGUUGAUGGAUGGACCCGCGGUGCAUUAGCUAGUUGGUGAGGUAACGGCUCAGCAAGGCCACGAUGCAUAGCCGACCUGAGAGGGUGAUCGGCCACACUGGGACUGAGACACGGCCCAGACUCCUACGGGAGGCAGCAGUAGGGAAUCUUCGGCAAUGGACGAAAGUCUGACCGAGCAACGCCGCGUGAGUGAAGAAGGUUUUCGGAUCGUAAAACUCUGUUGUUAGAGAAGAACAAGGACGUUAGUAACUGAACGUCCCCUGACGGUAUCUAACCAGAAAGCCACGGCUAACUACGUG
This 508-nucleotide ribosomal RNA is filed under the name uncultured bacterium. Its description in RNAcentral is "partial 16S ribosomal RNA". It matches the Rfam family "Bacterial small subunit ribosomal RNA", at positions 28 to 507 of the family's 1533-position model. The record is from RNAcentral.